CUCUUACAGAGCUGAGGCUUCUCAGAGAAUAAUGUGGAAAAUGCUCUUCGAACAUAAAUGUAACUGGUUCACAAACUGUAACUUGGCCAGCCUCUUCUGGGAGAGGGGGCAUAGUGUCAUUGGCUCUCUAUUGUGGUUUGCAGGGCAGCAAGGGGCAGAGGGAUCAUGAGCAACAGCUGUCUCCAGGCUCUUGAACUACUUGGCAGGGCAUUUGUGCAUGUCUCAAGCCUGUUCCUUAGGAGCUGUGCCCUUAUUUGAGCCAGAACUACACAAAGGCAUUGUCCUCAAACACUGGGUCUCCUCUUUCUUGACUGGCCCUGUUUACCCAUUCAUCAGCAGGUGGUGGCUGGAACAUUCCCCUUUGAUUUUGUGGUUCAGGAGCGGCAAGCUAAGACCUAAGCUGAAUAAACAUAGUAUCAUUUGGCACUGGCAAGAUUCCUGGUAGUCCGGGUCAGGAGAGGUUUAAGGAGGAUUAGGUUUAGAUUAGAAAAGGGGUUGAGUUAUUUUUUUUCCCUGUGGUUUCUCUUAAGUGCCUUAGGGUUUUGUAAGAGGAAAGUGGGCUGACAGCCUGGACUCAGUUGCUCCAGAGAUAAAAGUGGUGAGCUCAGUGUUCUUUUCUGGACCAUCAGGAGGGUAUGUUCUUCUCCUGAACAUGGUUUUUCCCAUGAGACUCAUGAGUUCCUGGGAAUCUGCUGAAAGCUCUAAACCUUUUCUCUAGAAAACUGGGGGCAUCUGUGCACAAGCACGCACGGGCAGGUACACAAGGGCACGCCCACACCUGCUUGCGCGUGCGCAUACAUCUGAUUUGACUUACUCGCAGGCGUUCCUGAAAUUCACCAGCCAGAAAAUUUUCAAGAGCCUACACAACUCACUUUUCAGAGAGACCUCACCCUUCCCAGAGUGAUUUGCUACCAUGUAUUGAGAGAAGACUGGAUGAUGCUACAUUGCCACAUGAUACCAUAAGAACUCAAUAUUUCUGACCACGGAUAUCAGAACACACAUCAUUCCUGCUGCAGCUCUGACAGUGAGAACAAGGACUGUCCUGGGCAGAUGACCUUCUGCCUCCACCUCUUUGCACUUCUGUUCAUCCUUUUUUAAACACCAGUUUUAUGACCCCAGACAGAUCCACAGUCACCCUCCUCCCAACUCCACAAGAGGCCUUCCAAGACCAGCAGAUAAAUCUGGCUCAGGCUCAAGGAAGGAAGUCAGCUGCAUUUGCUCUGCGUGCUGGUGUGCACGAGACCUUGUGUGUGCCCUCUAGAAGUGGAGCCCCUGUUUCCUACCAUCCCCCACCCCUGUCCUGUGGAGCUCCUACAAUCAGGCCCCACUGGCCUUCAAAGCCAGAUCUGCUGAGGGCUCCUCCAUUCAAUGCCAGGCCCCUAGACUGGGUAGCCUGAUGUGGAACUCAGAGCUCUCAGCUCUGUGGGAGAAUUUCUGUGAUGUAAUUAGUCUCUAGAUUGUGGGUCACCCACCCAGGUAGUAUGGGAUUUAAUUACAUUGCAAAGUACACCCC
Molecule: long non-coding RNA, 1513 nt
Organism: Bos taurus (domestic cattle)
Lineage: Eukaryota; Metazoa; Chordata; Mammalia; Artiodactyla; Bovidae
Source: Ensembl